UACGGAGGAUGCGAGCGUUAUCCGGAUUUAUUGGGUUUAAAGGGUGCGUAGGCGGUCUUUUAAGUCAGCGGUGAAAGCCCGGGGCUCAACCCCGGCGAGCCGUUGAUACUGGGAGACUGGAGAGGAAGAGAGGCAUGCGGAAUUCGCGGUGUAGCGGUGGAAUGCUUAGAUAUCGCGAAGAACUCCGAUUGCGAAGGCAGCAUGCUGGCUUCUGUCUGACGCUGAGGCACGAAAGCGUGGGGAUCGAACAGG
This 252-nucleotide ribosomal RNA is filed under the name uncultured bacterium. RNAcentral's name for it is "partial 16S ribosomal RNA". It matches the Rfam family "Bacterial small subunit ribosomal RNA", at positions 524 to 776 of the family's 1533-position model. The record is from RNAcentral.